UAAGGAAUAUUGCGCAAUGGGCGACAGCCUGACGCAGCGACGCCGCGUGGGGGAUGAAGGUCUUCGGAUUGUAAACCCCUUUCGGCAGGGAAGAUGGAACGGGUAACCGUUCGGACGGUACCUGCAGAAGCAGCCACGGCUAACUUCGUGCCAGCAGCCGCGGUAAUACGAAGGUGGCAAGCGUUGUUCGGAUUUACUGGGCGUACAGGGAGCGUAGGCGGUUGGGUAAGCCCUCCGUGAAAUCUCCGGGCCUAACCCGGAAAGUGCGGAGGGGACUGCUCGGCUAGAGGAUGGGAGAGGAGCGCGGAAUUCCCGGUGUAGCGGUGAAAUGCGUAGAGAUCGGGAGGAAGGCCGGUGGCGAAGGCGGCGCUCUGGAACAUUUCUGACGCUGAGGCUCGAAAGCGUGGGGAGCAAACAGGAUUAGAUACCCCGGUAGUCCCUGAGCGGGCUGGCAAGGCGCAU
RNAcentral lists this ribosomal RNA (462 nucleotides) under uncultured bacterium. RNAcentral's name for it is "bacterial SSU rRNA". It matches the Rfam family "Bacterial small subunit ribosomal RNA", at positions 355 to 825 of the family's 1533-position model. The record is from RNAcentral.